CAGGAGUCGAAGCUACAUUGACAUGAUCGUUAACAUUCGUCAGCCUUUCUGUCUCGACACCCACACUGUUUAAUUUCACCAAUCGAUUUAAGUUCUUGAAAGUUUUUGGAAAGAUUUUUCAUCAGCCGAACAACUGUCAUGCUGUUAAACGACAGUACAUCUUUCACAGCCGCCACUUUGACGAAGCCAGAAAACCGAACGCUCCACCAGAAGCAGAAGAUCAAGAGACAUCCAGCGGUUCUGUGAAGCAGGAAUCCAAUGAAGGGCAGCCGAGCAUCCAGCAGCUUCUUUCUGUCUGAUCCCAACAUAAUCAGAGCUUUGUUCUGCAGAAGAAUGGCGCUUUAUGACUCCUUUCAGAUACAUUAAUCUGUGCUGUGUCAUUGAUAGACAGCUGAAUAGGAUCUGACAUCAUCAGAGGAACAUGACCAUUUCACUGCUUAGAAGAAACAGAAAAGAGCAUGUUUUUCUGAUGUUUCUGACAUGUUGAUGAUGCUGACAAGUGAUUAAUGACAACAUUUUCAUUUUGGGGUGGAGUAUACCUUUAAGCUAGUAUAUGUGCAGUUUUCCAGUCGGCACGCAUGCAAACUGUACAGUGAGUGUUCGCUGAGGACUGAACUGUUGAAAACUAAACAGACGGCGCUCAGGAAGCUUAAGAAUUCUGCUGUGGAGGCUAAAAUAAAGCGCCAUUUAUAUUGAAA
Molecule: long non-coding RNA, 698 nt
Organism: Carassius gibelio (silver crucian carp)
Lineage: Eukaryota; Metazoa; Chordata; Actinopteri; Cypriniformes; Cyprinidae
Exons: 3
Source: RefSeq, a predicted model, not a curated record